Non-coding RNA from Aphanomyces invadans, 160 nucleotides. NCBI's taxonomy places the organism in Eukaryota, Oomycota, Saprolegniomycetes, Saprolegniales, Verrucalvaceae. The record is from Rfam.
AUACUUACCUGACUGGUGCUCGACCGUGAUCAACAAGGCGGUUGACAUGAGCCGGAGCAGGCCUUCACGCACUCCGGUGCUGUAAUGGCUCAGGAGCACCCUCGGGUGUUUCCACAGUGCAAUUUUUGCCAGCGGGGGUGUGCGCGUGCGCCACCCCCAA